UACAUAUUGUAGGUGUUCAAUGAUCCCACAGCAUUAACAGAGGAGCUGUAUGAUUUGCGAGACCGUUGGGCAAGUUGUUUUCUUGACCUAUAUAAUCCCGAGGUAGAUUAUGAUGAUGCCGACGAGAAAGAUUAGGAGCUAGCUAGGUUUGUGUGAAGUUACAAUGGACUAGUUAUGAUGAUGUUUUAAUUUGUAUUUUGGAUGGAUUAGUAUUAAUUAUUAUGAUGUUUUGUAUAUUUUUUUUUUUGAUAACAUGAUGUUUUGUAUUUUGGAUUACAAUGUGGUUGUACUUUAAUGACAUUAUUACUAUAUACUAUAUGUUGAAUGUUGAAUGUUGAAUUUGGCUAUGGAGGUUGAAUGUUAAAUUUUAGUAUUAUGUUGUUGAUG
RNAcentral lists this long non-coding RNA (387 nucleotides) under Trifolium pratense (red clover). Its description in RNAcentral is "long non-coding RNA (TPRA_LNC004296)". The record is from RNAcentral. Lineage: Eukaryota; Viridiplantae; Streptophyta; Magnoliopsida; Fabales; Fabaceae.